GACGAACCGUGCGAACGUUGUUCGGAAUCACUGGGCUUAAAGGGCGCGUAGGCGGGCUUGCAAGUCAGGGGUGAAAUCCCACGGCUUAACCGUGGAAGUGCCUUUGAUACUGUGGGUCUUGAGGGAGGUAGGGGCGUGCGGAACUUCCGGUGGAGCGGUGAAAUGCGUAGAUAUCGGAAGGAACACCGGUGGCGAAAGCGGCGCGCUGGACCUCUACUGACGCUGAGGCGCGAAAGCCAGGGGAGCAAACGGG
This 253-nucleotide ribosomal RNA is filed under the name uncultured bacterium. RNAcentral describes it as "partial 16S ribosomal RNA". It matches the Rfam family "Bacterial small subunit ribosomal RNA", at positions 524 to 776 of the family's 1533-position model. The record is from RNAcentral.